Ictidomys tridecemlineatus (thirteen-lined ground squirrel) is the source of this 72-nucleotide non-coding RNA. The record is from Rfam. Lineage: Eukaryota; Metazoa; Chordata; Mammalia; Rodentia; Sciuridae.
UGGGGUGCGGCACAGUGGUAGAGCACUUGCCUAGCAUGUAUGAGGCCCUGGGUUCGAUUCUCAGCACCACAU